RNAcentral lists this transfer RNA (61 nucleotides) under Amynthas yambaruensis. RNAcentral describes it as "tRNA-Leu1". Lineage: Eukaryota; Metazoa; Annelida; Clitellata; Crassiclitellata; Megascolecidae. The record is from RNAcentral.
AGUGUGUUGGCAGACUAGUGCAACUGAUUUAGGAUCAGCCCAUGGGAUAGCCCACACACUA